UACGUAGGGCGCAAGCGUUGUCCGGAAUUAUUGGGCGUAAAGAGCUCGUAGGCGGCUUGUCACGUCGGGUGUGAAAGCCCGGGGCUUAACCCCGGGUCUGCAUUCGAUACGGGCUAGCUAGAGUGUGGUAGGGGAGAUCGGAAUUCCUGGUGUAGCGGUGAAAUGCGCAGAUAUCAGGAGGAACACCGAUGGCGAAGGCGGGUCUCUGGGCAACAACUGACGCUGAGGAGCGAAAGCGUGGGGAGCGAACAGG
RNAcentral lists this ribosomal RNA (253 nucleotides) under uncultured bacterium. RNAcentral's name for it is "partial 16S ribosomal RNA". It matches the Rfam family "Bacterial small subunit ribosomal RNA", at positions 524 to 776 of the family's 1533-position model. The record is from RNAcentral.